GUCGAAGCUUCGCUCGUGCGCUUCCUCCCCUGCCUUGAUUUGUGAUGGUGAGCAGCAAGGAAGAUGGGGUUCCUCUGUAUUCCUUUGUGUAUAGACUUGGGUGUGUAUGCAGUACCUAUUCGCAAAGGUGAUGGCGGUGAGACGCUGUAUGGAUGGACGCCAGAAGGAAGCCGGAGGGCACAUACAUAGAAGUGGUGGUGUUGUGAUAGUGGUGUAAUUGCUGCGGUAAUGAUGUGGUGUCGUCAAUGGACAAGAUCUGCAUGACUUUGGAUGCUUUCGCAACAGACAGAGGUGGACGCUGAUUCCUGGGGACACUUAGGGACUGUCAGCUACACCACCAGGCAUUUACAGCACGACACGAUGAGCUGAACGUGCAGUUAGCCCUUAAUGUGACCCUGCAGCCAGCGCCUCCACGACACCGCAGGCAUGGGUACUGCUGCUUCCACUACCAUCACCACCAGCACCAGAGCUGGCACGACCACAUCUGCCUCGACCACCACCGAGGGAAGUAAGUUCAGUCAUAUUGUGAGAUGCAAAACAUGCAUUGCUGUUGGUUGCCUCUCCGCUGGCUUUCCCGCAUCUAAAUCGCCAGUCUGCCUGUAGUUCCGGCUUGUGGUUUAUGAUAAUACUUUCGCAGCGACGCACGGUUAAGCUUUGUAUCUCUACUGUGGUGUAUCUUCCAUUGUAUUUAUACGAGGUUUCAAACGUCACUUGAUUAUUUAUCGUGUUUUUCUUUAUUAUAACACCAAGUCUUUUUAGGUAGUUAUGUGUUAGCAUUGUUUAUGUAGAUGCAUAUAGGUAAAAUUAAAAUGGAAAAUAUAGUAACACGCACGCACGGACGCACACACACACACACACACACACACACACACACACACACACACACACACACACACACACACACACACACACACACACACACACACACACACACAUGUAGGAAGGCAGGCAGGCAGGCAGGCACAUUCCUUUGGAUAAGUGCCUGUUCUGUGUCUUAGCGAAGGAGGAGGAGGAGCUGGGGGAGGUGGAGGAAGAGGAAGAGGAAGAGGAAGAGGACGACGACACGGGAGACGAGGACGACAAAGACGACAAUGUUGCCGCCUUAGUCUUGACAAGCUCUCUUCCUCCUCAUCCACCACCACCACCACCACCACCACCCUUCCCCUUCUCGUCGCAGGGCUAAACGACCCCGCCAAGCAACAUACCAGGCAGUUUACAUUGCUGGCGGCAGUCACUAGUGAAAUUACAUGCUCGUCAGUUAGUGGGCACAGAAGGAGAGGUCGUUUUCUUAACACAAGACCCUCGUUAGCGUUCUUCCACGAGCCAACCAGGCGAUCAGGGAGGCUGUGUGGGUAGUGGUGGCGGUGGAAGGGCGGGGUGGCAUUUUGGCUGCUUAGAUCAGGUCACUGGUGGCGAGGGGCGGGGUUGACAAGAGGGAGAGGUAUGGUAGAGCAGUUAACGUUUUUUUGUAGUGUUAUAAUCAUUCAGAGUAUAUGGAGGCAUGUAUGUAUGUAUGCAUUUAUAAAUUAUUUAAAAAAAGCCUUAAAAGAGUGACUGUGGAAUGAUGUAGUGUUAUAAUCAUUCAAAGUAUAUGUAUGUAUGUAUGUAUGCAUUUAUAAAUUAUUUGAAAAAAAAGCCUUAAAAGAGUAACUGUGGAAUAAUGAAUAAAGAAAUGAUGGACGUUUUUUAUUAUUGAUGGAAAAAAAAGUGUGUAUGGACAGUACGAGACAUUACCGUAUGUGUAACAGAUGAAGCAGAGUAACAGAAGAGUAAACAGACGAAAAUACAGGUACCUACAGUUUCAUUAGCAUGGUAUGAUCUAGGAGAAAAAAGCGUUGGUUGUACUGGAAUCAGAGAUGCUUCCUUUCCCUCCCUUCUUUCCACCCACCCUUUCACACACACACACACACACACACACACACACACACACACACACACACACACACACACACACACACACACACA
Molecule: long non-coding RNA, 1965 nt
Filed under: Portunus trituberculatus (swimming crab)
Lineage: Eukaryota; Metazoa; Arthropoda; Malacostraca; Decapoda; Portunidae
Description: uncharacterized LOC123503548, transcript variant X5
Source: RNAcentral